This 66-nucleotide transfer RNA is filed under the name Amata formosae. Its description in RNAcentral is "tRNA-Thr". It matches the Rfam family "tRNA". Rfam says of the family: Transfer RNA (tRNA) molecules are approximately 80 nucleotides in length. Lineage: Eukaryota; Metazoa; Arthropoda; Insecta; Lepidoptera; Erebidae. The record is from RNAcentral.
GUUUUUAUAGUUUAAAUUAAAACAUUGGUCUUGUAAACCUAAAUUAAGUUAAAAACUUUAAAAACU